AACGCACCUUGCGCCCUUUGGUAUUCCGAAGGGCAUGCCUGUUUGAGUGUCAUUAAAUUCUCAACUUCAAAAUGCUUUGCUGCAUUUUUUUGAAGCUUGGACUUUGGAGGAUUGCCGGCAUUGACUUGUCAGCUCCUCUUAAAUGCAUUAGCGGAACUUCUAUUAAGGACCAGCUUUGGUUUGAUAAUCCUAUCUAUGCCGUCGCUGUGGACUUUGCUUGUUCAGCUUCUAAUGGUCUUCGGACUGUCUCUUUGUGAGGCAUACACUUUUAAGCUUGACCUCAAAUCAGGUAGGACUACCCGCUGAACUUAA
Molecule: unclassified non-coding RNA, 312 nt
Filed under: uncultured Clavariaceae
Lineage: Eukaryota; Fungi; Basidiomycota; Agaricomycetes; Agaricales; Clavariaceae
Description: sequence contains ITS2
Rfam family: 5.8S ribosomal RNA (bases 1-52)
Source: RNAcentral